RNAcentral lists this ribosomal RNA (484 nucleotides) under uncultured bacterium. RNAcentral's name for it is "partial 16S ribosomal RNA". It matches the Rfam family "Bacterial small subunit ribosomal RNA", at positions 30 to 507 of the family's 1533-position model. The record is from RNAcentral.
AUUGAACGCUGGCGGCAGGCCUAACACAUGCAAGUCGAGCGGAUGACGGGAGCUUGCUCCUUGAUUCAGCGGCGGACGGGUGAGUAAUGCCUAGAAAUCUGCCUGGUAGUGGGGGACAACGUUCCGAAAGGAGCGCUAAUACCGCAUACGUCCUACGGGAGAAAGUGGGGGAUCUUCGGACCUCACGCUAUCAGAUGAGCCUAGGUCGGAUUAGCUAGUUGGUGAGGUAAAGGCUCACCAAGGCGACGAUCCGUAACUGGUCUGAGAGGAUGAUCAGUCACACUGGAACUGAGACACGGUCCAGACUCCUACGGGAGGCAGCAGUGGGGAAUAUUGGACAAUGGGCGAAAGCCUGAUCCAGCCAUGCCGCGUGUGUGAAGAAGGUCUUCGGAUUGUAAAGCACUUUAAGUUGGGAGGAAGGGCAGUAAGUUAAUACCUUGCUGUUUUGACGUUACCGACAGAAUAAGCACCGGCUAACUCUGUG